RNAcentral lists this long non-coding RNA (1740 nucleotides) under Canis lupus familiaris (dog). RNAcentral describes it as "lncRNA (ENSCAFG00040007495.1)". Lineage: Eukaryota; Metazoa; Chordata; Mammalia; Carnivora; Canidae. The record is from RNAcentral.
AUUAUCUCCCCUCCCCCCAAAAAAAGGGAAAAAGAAAGCAUAAGAAGUACUAUAGAAGUGCAGAGGUGGAGAAAUGUGCUCCCCGGAUACAGAGGGAAGCCUAGAGGAAGACACUCACAAAGUAAUUAUUGAGCCAAGCCUUAAAGGAUGAGAGGAAUUUUUCCCAGCAGAGAGAAUUUUAUCACUUCAUGAUGAAGUCUGGGAGUAAAUACUGGAACUUAUUCUUUCCCAUUUCCAUUUUUUUCUUGUGCCAUUCAUUACAGUUUUCCACUCUUGAGUCCCCGAUGUAUGAGUUCCAUUUAUGAACUUCAUCUACAAGCAGGAUAACAUGGGUACAUGAAAUCCAACAAUAUCGCUCUCAGUCACACCCAACAGAAGCAUUUCUAUUAGAACUUGCAGCUGACAAACUUGUAGGGUGUAGAAAGAGUCCUGUGGUUGGAACUGCUUCUUCCUCCCUCUGUGACUUUGAGCAGGAUGAAACUUCUCUGAGUCUUGGCUUCCCCUUCUAUACAUUGUACAUGGAAAAAUUUCAUCUCUCCUCUCUUGCAGAGCUCCUAUGGAAGCUUAAAGGAAAGCAUAUGAAAAUCCAUUUUAAUCUAUGACAUGUUCUUCAAAUAUGGGUAUGAUCCUGAAGAGUAUCCAGCAUAGAAAUGGACACACAGAAGGCUCCUUUGAAUAAGAAGACCAAGUCUUUCCCUUCUUUACCACACCAUCAUUGUUUUCCAAGUGACACUCAGGCUCAAAUAAGACUUAGAAGACUUUUGGAUCAAAGGAAAGUGGUAAGUGAAGACUUCAAAUUUAGCAGUGAGUACAUUAUCCAUAAUUUCUGUUUAGGCAUGAUGGCUAUGUAAAAACAAUAGCCACCUAUGUAAAAACAAAAGAAGAAAAAGAAUUGAAUUGGCAGGGAGUUUAUAGCAAAGAUAGAACUUGGGCUUCUCUUAGCCUAAUGCCAUUUUCAAUAUACCAGUGACUGAACCAAGUCUGCUCCCAUGUUAAUGUGUUAGGAGUGGAGAUACUGGGAUGCUAAUCAAUUUAUUUUUUUUUAAGAUUUUAUUUAUUUAUUCGUGAGAGACACACAGAAAGAGGCAGAGACAUAGGCAGAGGGAGAAGCAGGCUCCCUGUGGGGAGCCAGAUGCAGGACUCAAUCCCAGGACCCCAGGGUCAUGCCCUGAGCUGAAGGUAGACAUUCAACCACUGAGCCACCCAGGUGCCCCAAUAGUAAUCAAUUUCUAACAGAAAAGUCACACAAGGCUGGGCUGUAAUCCAAGUCACCCAUAAAUAUCUUUUUUUUUUUAAUUUAAAUUGAAGUUGCCAACAUAUGGUAUAACACCCAGUGUUCACCUCAUCAUAUGCCCUCCUUAAUGCCCAUUGCCCAGUUACCCCAUUCCUCCACUCACCUCCCCUUCUGCAAUUUUCUGUUUGUAUCCCAGAGUUAGGAGUCUCUCAUGGUUUAUUUUCUCUAAUUUCUUAAGAAAAACUACUGAAGUUCCAGUCUUUGGUUUGCUUUCUGCCACCAGGAGGCCUUUGGUAUAAAGAAAUAAACAUAUAACAUUCAGGGAAAUCACAUUCUAACAUAAGCACUACCAUUAAUUCAAGAUCUACUCCUCACUAAAAUGAAGUUAAUUGGUUCAUUUCACCUCAGACAAGUGGUCGGGCGACAGAGAACAACCUUCUUAGGCAAAGGCCUGUCCAUGGUUAAUGUGCCAUGGGUUAAUGUGCCAUGAUGGAACUGAUAUCUGG